UAGGGAAUCUUCGGCAAUGGGGGCAACCCUGACCGAGCAACGCCGCGUGAGUGAAGAAGGUUUUCGGAUCGUAAAGCUCUGUUGUAAGAGAAGAACGUGUGUGAGAGUGGAAAGUUCACACAGUGACGGUAACUUACCAGAAAGGGACGGCUAACUACGUGCCAGCAGCCGCGGCAAUACGUAGGUCCCGAGCGUUGUCCGGAUUUAUUGGGCGUAAAGCGAGCGCAGGCGGUUUAAUAAGUCUGAAGUUAAAGGCAGUGGCUUAACCAUUGUUCGCUUUGGAAACUGUUAAACUUGAGUGCAGAAGGGGAGAGUGGAAUUCCAUGUGUAGCGGUGAAAUGCGUAGAUAUAUGGAGGAACACCGGUGGCGAAAGCGGCUCUCUGGUCUGUAACUGACGCUGAGGCUCGAAAGCGGGGGGAGCAAACAGG
This 429-nucleotide ribosomal RNA is filed under the name bacterium. RNAcentral describes it as "partial 16S ribosomal RNA". It matches the Rfam family "Bacterial small subunit ribosomal RNA", at positions 355 to 776 of the family's 1533-position model. The record is from RNAcentral.